AAGACUUUAUUUCCAGGGACCAUUUCUAUAGUUCGUUACUCAACACGUUUCUCAGGUCAUGUAGAGAAAACCACAAAGAGCAGCCAGAGCGCCCUCUCCUGAGCAUGAACCCGGCUCUGGGUGUGGCUUUUAACUACCUUUUGCAUUAAAGAUGACUCUUCUCUUCUCUUUGGAAAAGUGAGAGGGAGGAUGUAGUCUGAAUGG
RNAcentral lists this small nucleolar RNA (204 nucleotides) under Sorex araneus (European shrew). Its description in RNAcentral is "Small nucleolar RNA U3 (ENSSARG00000017174.1)". It matches the Rfam family "Small nucleolar RNA U3". Rfam says of the family: Small nucleolar RNAs (snoRNAs) are involved in the processing and modification of rRNA in the nucleolus. There are two main classes of snoRNAs: the box C/D class, and the box H/ACA class. Lineage: Eukaryota; Metazoa; Chordata; Mammalia; Eulipotyphla; Soricidae. The record is from RNAcentral.